Molecule: ribosomal RNA, 253 nt
Filed under: uncultured bacterium
Lineage: Bacteria
Description: partial 16S ribosomal RNA
Rfam family: Bacterial small subunit ribosomal RNA
Source: RNAcentral
UACGUAGGGCGCAAGCGUUGUCCGGAAUUAUUGGGCGUAAAGAGCUCGUAGGCGGCCUGUCGCGUCUGCUGUGAAAUCCCGGGGCUCAACCCCGGGCCUGCAGUGGAUACGGGCUGGCUGGAGGCAGGCAGGGGAGAACGGAAUUCCUGGUGUAGCGGUGAAACGCGCAGAUAUCAGGAGGAACACCGGUGGCGAAGGCGGUUCUCUGGGCCUGUUCUGACGCUGAGGAGCGAAAGCGUGGGGAGCGAACAGG